UGCCACUCUUAACGGGGUGGCUUUUCAGAAGUGUAAAAAGCUUCUGGAAUAAGGGCUGGGCAAGACCGGUGCCAGCCGCCGCGGUAACACCGGCAGCUCAAGUGGUAGCCGCUUUUAUUGGGCCUAAAGCGUCCGUAGCCGGUCUGAUAAGUCUCUGGUGAAAUCCCACAGCUUAACUGUGGGAAUUGCUGGAGAUACUAUCAUGACUCGAGGUCGGGAGAGGCUGGAGGUACUCCCAGGGUAGGGGUGAAAUCCUGUAAUCCUGGGAGGACCACCUGUGGCGAAGGCGUCCAGCUGGAACGAACCUGACGGUGAGGGACGAAAGCCAGGGGCGCGAACCGGAUUAGAUACCCGGGUAGUCCUGGCCGUAAACGAUGUGGACUUGGUGUUGAGAUGGCUUCGAGCUGCCCCAGUGCCGAAAGGGAAGCUGUUAAGUCCACCGCCUGGGAAGUACGGCCGCA
Molecule: ribosomal RNA, 461 nt
Filed under: uncultured archaeon
Lineage: Archaea
Description: bacterial SSU rRNA
Rfam family: Archaeal small subunit ribosomal RNA
Source: RNAcentral